UUGUACACACCGCCCGUCGCUACUACCGAUUGAAUGGCUCAGUGAGGCGUCCGGACUGGCCCAGAGGGGUGGGCAACCACCCUUCAGGGCCGGAAAGCUCUCCAAACUCGGUCAUUUAGAGGAAGUAAAAGUCGUAACAAGGUCUCCGUUGGUGAACCAGCGGAGGGAUCAUUA
This 174-nucleotide ribosomal RNA is filed under the name Escovopsis weberi. RNAcentral's name for it is "partial 18S ribosomal RNA". It matches the Rfam family "Eukaryotic small subunit ribosomal RNA", at positions 1660 to 1831 of the family's 1831-position model. Lineage: Eukaryota; Fungi; Ascomycota; Sordariomycetes; Hypocreales; Hypocreaceae. The record is from RNAcentral.